AUGCAAACUUGAUCAGGUUUUAGCAUUACAAUUGUUGCUUUUAACUUGGAACCCGUUUGCAA
RNAcentral lists this microRNA precursor (62 nucleotides) under Ciona intestinalis (vase tunicate). Its description in RNAcentral is "microRNA cin-mir-4178b precursor". It matches the Rfam family "mir-4178 microRNA precursor family". The record is from miRBase by way of RNAcentral. Lineage: Eukaryota; Metazoa; Chordata; Ascidiacea; Phlebobranchia; Cionidae.